UCUUUUGGGAAGUGGUCUGUUCAUGUCUUUUUUGUCCAUUAAUUUUUUUAUUUUUUUGAGACAGAGUCUCACUCUGUCACCCAGGUUGGAAUACAACGGCGUGAUCUUGGCUCACUGCAGCCUCAAUCGCCCAGGCUCAAGUGAUCCUCCCAUCUCAGCCUCCCAAGUAGCUAGGACUACAGGCAUGCAACACCAUGCCUGGCGCUAACUUUGUUUAUUUUUUAUAGAGACGGGGUCUCACUAUGUUGCCCAGGCUGGUCUC
Molecule: long non-coding RNA, 262 nt
Filed under: Homo sapiens (human)
Lineage: Eukaryota; Metazoa; Chordata; Mammalia; Primates; Hominidae
Description: non-protein coding lnc-PDE3B-3:1
Source: RNAcentral